This 492-nucleotide ribosomal RNA is filed under the name uncultured bacterium. Its description in RNAcentral is "partial 16S ribosomal RNA". It matches the Rfam family "Bacterial small subunit ribosomal RNA", at positions 29 to 507 of the family's 1533-position model. The record is from RNAcentral.
AGUGAACGCUGGCGGUAUGCCUAACACAUGCAAGUCGAACGGCAGCACAGUAAGAGCUUGCUCUUACGGGUGGCGAGUGGCGGACGGGUGAGGAAUACAUCGGAAUCUACUUUUUCGUGGGGGAUAACGUAGGGAAACUUACGCUAAUACCGCAUACGACCUACGGGUGAAAGCAGGGGAUCUUCGGACCUUGCGCGAUUGAAUGAGCCGGUGUCGGAUUAGCUAGUUGGCGGGGUAAAGGCCCACCAAGGCGACGAUCCGUAGCUGGUCUGAGAGGAUGAUCAGCCACACUGGAACUGAGACACGGUCCAGACUCCUACGGGAGGCAGCAGUGGGGAAUAUUGGACAAUGGGCGCAAGCCUGAUCCAGCCAUACCGCGUGGGUGAAGAAGGCCUUCGGGUUGUAAAGCCCUUUUGUUGGGAAAGAAAAGCAGCAGGUUAAUACCCCGCUGUUCUGACGGUACCCAAAGAAUAAGCACCGGCUAACUUCGUG